CAGAGGGUGCAAGCGUUAAUCGGAAUUACUGGGCGUAAAGCGCGCGUAGGUGGUUACUUAAGUCAGAUGUGAAAAGCCCCGGGCGUUAACCUUAGGGAACGUGCAUCUGAUACUGGGUGGACUAGAGUAGGUGAGAGGGGAGGUAGAAUUCCAGGUGUAGCGGUGAAAUAGCGUAGAGAUCUGGAGGAAUACCGAUGGCGAAGGCAGCUCCCUGGCAUCAUACUGACACUGAGGUGCGAAAGCGUGGGUAGCAAACAGGAUU
Molecule: ribosomal RNA, 262 nt
Filed under: uncultured bacterium
Lineage: Bacteria
Description: partial 16S ribosomal RNA
Rfam family: Bacterial small subunit ribosomal RNA
Source: RNAcentral